CCUACGGGUGGCAGCAGUGAGGAAUAUUGGUCAAUGGGCUUACGCCUGAACCAGCCAAGUCGCGUGAGGGAUGACUGCCCUCUGGGUUGUAACCCUCUUUUGUCAGGGAGCAACGCCGGCUCCGUGUAGCCGGACUGAGAGUCCCUGAAGACAAAGCAUCGGCACACUCCGUGCCAGCCGCCGCGGUAAGACGGAGGAUGCGAGCGUUAUCCGGAUUUAUUGGGUUUACGGGGUGCGUAGGCGGCCUUUUAAGUCAGCGGUGAAAGUCUGUGGCUCAACCAUAGAAGUGCCGUUGAAACUGGGAGGCUGGAGUAUGGUUGAGGCAGGCGGAAUGCGUGGUGGAGCGGUGAAAUGCGUAGAUAUCACGCAGAACCCCGAUUGCGAAGGCAGCCAGCGAAGCCAUGACUGACGCUGAUGCACGAAAGCGUGGGGAUCAAACAGGAUUAGAUACCCCUGUAGUC
This 461-nucleotide ribosomal RNA is filed under the name uncultured bacterium. RNAcentral's name for it is "partial 16S ribosomal RNA". It matches the Rfam family "Bacterial small subunit ribosomal RNA", at positions 338 to 795 of the family's 1533-position model. The record is from RNAcentral.